UACGUAGGGUGCAAGCGUUAAUCGGAAUUACUGGGCGUAAAGCGUGCGCAGGCGGUUAUGUAAGACAGGGUGUGAAAAUCCCCCGGGCUUAACCCUGGGGAACUGCAUUUGUGACUGCAUAGCUAGAGUACGGUAGAGGGGAUGGAAUUCCGCGUGUAGCAGUGAAAUGCGUAGAUAUGCGGAGGAACACCGAUGGCGAAGGCAAUCCCCUGGACCUGUACUGACGCUCAUGCACGAAAGCGUGGGGGAGCAAACAGG
This 258-nucleotide ribosomal RNA is filed under the name uncultured bacterium. RNAcentral's name for it is "partial 16S ribosomal RNA". It matches the Rfam family "Bacterial small subunit ribosomal RNA", at positions 524 to 776 of the family's 1533-position model. The record is from RNAcentral.